GUAAUAUUCAGAGACUAUUGAGGUUAAAGCGAUUCAGAAAGGCCACGUCCACUGUGCCCAGUGUGUUGAGGGGACAGUAAUAUUCAGUGACUAUUGAGGUUAAAGUGAUUCAGAAAGGCGACGUCCACUGUGUCCAGUGUGUUGAGGGGACAGUAAUAUUCAGUGACUAUUGAGGUUAAAGUGAUUCAGAAAGGCCACGUCCACUGUGUCCAGUGUGUUGAGGGGACAGUAAUAUUCAGUGAC
This is a long non-coding RNA of Oncorhynchus keta (chum salmon), 243 nucleotides long. RefSeq lists it as uncharacterized. Lineage: Eukaryota; Metazoa; Chordata; Actinopteri; Salmoniformes; Salmonidae. The record is from RefSeq and is a predicted model, not a curated record. The transcript is spliced from 4 exons.